Molecule: long non-coding RNA, 410 nt
Organism: Brachypodium distachyon (stiff brome)
Lineage: Eukaryota; Viridiplantae; Streptophyta; Magnoliopsida; Poales; Poaceae
Exons: 2
Source: RefSeq, a predicted model, not a curated record
CUUCUCGGCCCUCUCGUCGAGCCGCAGUCCCGCCGGAGAGGAGGAGGGCGUCUCGCCGCGAGCCCGCGACGAGUCACUGCGGGGGAUCUCACGCCUCCGGCCCCGCCGCAUCCUCCUGCAGGAAGGGGUCGCUCGCCGCCUUCGCCGGGGGUGGCAUCGUACUGCGGCAGCGGCGGCGGCGUGCCCCGCCGGAGCGGGAGGAGGGUGCAUGCUAGCGUUCGCGGUGGCGUUCCGCGCGGCGAAACGCGAAUCGCCUUGGGGUAUACUCAGCCGCUGCUUCCUUCCGGUUGCUGUUUCGCGAUGGUAUGGCCACCUUUACCUUGGAGUGGGUCUUUUCUGCUCUUUCUUUACAAGUUGCUGACAUAUUACAAUAUACUUCAAAUCAUGCUACAUAGAGGUUUGCUUUGCUA